This 253-nucleotide ribosomal RNA is filed under the name uncultured bacterium. RNAcentral's name for it is "partial 16S ribosomal RNA". It matches the Rfam family "Bacterial small subunit ribosomal RNA", at positions 524 to 776 of the family's 1533-position model. The record is from RNAcentral.
UACGGAGGGGGCUAGCGUUGUUCGGAAUUACUGGGCGUAAAGCGCACGUAGGCGGCUUUGUAAGUUAGAGGUGAAAGCCCAGGGCUCAACCCUGGAAUUGCCUUUAAGACUGCAUCGCUAGAAUUGUGCAGAGGUAAGUGGAAUUCCGAGUGUAGAGGUGAAAUUCGUAGAUAUUCGGAAGAACACCAGUGGCGAAGGCGACUUACUGGACACAUAUUGACGCUGAGGUGCGAAAGCGUGGGGAGCAAACAGG